RNAcentral lists this ribosomal RNA (154 nucleotides) under uncultured Melanogaster. RNAcentral describes it as "5.8S ribosomal RNA". It matches the Rfam family "5.8S ribosomal RNA". Rfam says of the family: 5.8S ribosomal RNA (5.8S rRNA) is a component of the large subunit of the eukaryotic ribosome. It is transcribed by RNA polymerase I as part of the 45S precursor that also contains 18S and 28S rRNA. Functionally, it is thought that 5.8S rRNA may be involved in ribosome translocation. The record is from RNAcentral. Lineage: Eukaryota; Fungi; Basidiomycota; Agaricomycetes; Boletales; Melanogastraceae.
AACUUUCAGCAACGGAUCUCUUGGCUCUCGCAUCGAUGAAGAACGCAGCGAAUUGCGAUACGUAAUGUGAAUUGCAGAUUUUCAGUGAAUCAUCGAAUCUUUGAAUGCACCUUGCGCUCCUUGGUAUUCCGAGGAGCAUGCCUGUUUGAGUGUC